AGCUUUGCGCAGUGGCAGUAUCGUAGCCAAUGAGGUUUACCCAAGGCGCGAUUAUUGCUAAUUGAAAAUUUUCCCAAUACCCCGCCAUGACGACUUGCAAUAUAGUUGGCAUUGGCAAUUUUUGACAGUCUCUACGGAGA
RNAcentral lists this small nuclear RNA (140 nucleotides) under Cebus imitator (Panamanian white-faced capuchin). Its description in RNAcentral is "U4 spliceosomal RNA (ENSCCAG00000014881.1)". It matches the Rfam family "U4 spliceosomal RNA". From Rfam's summary of the family: U4 small nuclear RNA (U4 snRNA) is a component of the major U2-dependent spliceosome. The structure of U4 snRNA from yeast and human has been reported. Lineage: Eukaryota; Metazoa; Chordata; Mammalia; Primates; Cebidae. The record is from Rfam by way of RNAcentral.